Silurus meridionalis is the source of this 563-nucleotide long non-coding RNA. RefSeq lists it as uncharacterized. The transcript is spliced from 3 exons. The record is from RefSeq and is a predicted model, not a curated record. NCBI's taxonomy places the organism in Eukaryota, Metazoa, Chordata, Actinopteri, Siluriformes, Siluridae.
CCUCAGCCUUCACUGUGCCCACGGGACCACCGUCCACAAAACCGUCCCGCUUCGACUCAUGAGCCUCGCUGCUCAGAGAAAGAUUCACCGGAACAGACUUCAACACCUGCACGUGAUUAUCUACUGAUGGGGGGCAGCAGGAUCAGUUCCAGGAGCAACGAUUGAAGAAGCUGCUGAGCCCAACCACACGCCUGCCUCAGACGGCCCCCAGGAAGUUACAGCUCUGCCUCUGCCAUGUAAAUCUGUAUUCUAUGUGACUCUCAGGACACGCCUCGGCCUGCGUAGUGAUGUGAUACGUCACGUUCACGUAGCAGCAGCGGUUUUAAACAGUUUAGCGACGAGAAAUGGAUCUACAUAUCAAAUAUUGGGUACAAAUUAUUGCUCACUUUCUGAAUAAUAAAAGUAAAGAACAUCUACUAAUAAUUAUAUAGAAAUAAAUUGUUUUUUUACCAAUGCAAAUAUGUUCAAAAAAAUACGUGAUACAAAUAACCACUUGUAUCUGAUACAAACUUUUUUUUAUAUGUGUGUGUGUCUUGAGUGUGUGUGUGUGUGUGUGUGUGUGU